UUCACUUGCAGUACAGGUAGAUACAGUCGAUUCACCGAAAGAGAAACUACUGCAACGUGAAAUAUGAUACUGACGUUUCAAUGCUAUAACCAGUUUUAAACAAAUAUUUCCAACUGCACCGGUGCUGUUUCAUAGCUUUAAUGUUACACAGCCAGCAUACAUAGUUUAUAAUGUCGGUUAUCAUUGGCAUAUUGCCAUACUCUGCUCAUAAGUACACGAACCAUGUCUCUGCUUAUUUUUAUUAAGUGGAAUUUGCAAGACCAUCAUUACCUUCGUAGAACAAUGCAUGCUUCCACAGCAUCCACACUGAACAGUAAUAAUAAAUCCAUCGGGGAGGGGGGACGAUUUAGAAAUCUGUUGGCGACUUUAAAAUGAAGAUGAAGUGCGGGGAGAAUGUUGUUAUUUUAAGGUCGCCGUGUUCCUGUAGCAUUUGCCACUGCAUUUAAAUUCUACUUGCACGCUGGCAGUCCUAUGCGUUUUACCUGCUUUACAUAGCAGUUUAAAUGUGUGUUUUUCCCAACGAUUGCCUUCUGUAUAUUUAUGCAAACAUUUGUACGUUUUUUUAUUAUGACUUUAUUUUGUUAAUUGGUUAUCAGUUAAAAUAAAUUAUAUUACAACAUGAUGUGGCCUUUUGGAGCUCUGCGAACGUUUUCAAUGACAAAAAACAAAACUUCCAAUUUAUAUCCUCGCUAGAAACCGCAGUUCAUGGAAACCCAUUUAUCACCUGGCACGAAACAGGAAAAUAUACGUUUUCACGAGAGGCUGUAAUUCAGCCAGUGUAAUUCAACUUUAAUUAUAUGCUAAAUGUCGACCUCGCCAGUGAUGAAAUAGAACAUGUUUGCUUACUGAUUUUCACUGGCUAUUCUGCUAACCCAGGGUCUUAAGUCAUUUUUUGCUUCUCAUCAGUUUUUGCUGUUUGUUGAUAAGGACUGGAAGGUCAAGUUGUUGAGCACAAAUCUGUAGCAGUUUAAAAGCAUUCUAUUAACAAGGAAAUUAAAUAAUGUAAUUUAAAGUGGAAAACUUUAUUAAACAUUUUAGAUCUAUCUAUCUAUCUAUCUAUCUAUCUAUCUAUCUAUCUAUCUAUCUAUCUAUCUAUCUAUCAACAUAUUUUAAACCUGAUUGAAAAUAAUAAAAAUAAAGCAUACAUUUAAGAUGGGCUGUGUCCCGGUGUCUUGAAAGUGUCCUAAGUUCACCCUGAUUGGUCGGGCUGUAUAGUGAUGUCACCCCACCAGCUAUUUGCCACGCCCCUAACCCUAAAUCUAGCACAGUAGUUAAGGGGACGCUAUUUCACAUGAAAACGGGGCACAGUCCAUAGAAUGAACAAUAUGAAUUUGUUGAUGCACAGUGAAUAAUAUUGUAUAUAUUUUUAAAUAAACAAAGCUGCCAGUUUUAUAAAGCUUACAUAUUAACAUGUUCAGUAUUAAUAUCUAAAACCGUACAUUCGAUUGUACUCCCAAAGUUAAUUUAUUGUUCACAAAAAGCCGACGUUUUGACACAGAAGUGCUUUCAACCGAGUGCAAUCCAGUGUGUGCAGUUUACUCUUCUUUUAUUAUUUGAUGGCGCGCGCCAGCCUUGUGAACAGCCAGCGGAGAGGCAGGGCACCCCUUGGCCCCAGAAAUGAAGGUUUGUGGGCCCCUCUCGACUGCCCGAACACACGCUUAGAAAAAUACACCUCCACACACAUAUUAACAGUGAAGGAGAAUCUGUAACAAUGGUAAUAAAACCUAUAAGAGAUUUUCAAGUAUUAGUUUGCACUGUUUUAUUGUAGUAUGUUUUUUAAAUCUGUAACUUUAAGGUAUUCUAAAAGGAUGCUCAAGUUUCCUUUGUGUAUAGAAUGGCAGUAAACCUCAAGGAAACAACUUUCCAAGUUCUAUAAUCUCAAUGAGAAAUCUGAAGAAUAGCAAUGCUCUCCCUAGGUUCAGCCAACGGUUGCAAGAAACUCUUAGAUUGCUGGCUCCUGAGUGUGAUGUCUCCUUUAUGCCCCGAGAGGGCAGCAGUGGGAUAGGAGCUGCAAUCGUAGCAGGCAAGGAACUACGGAAGAGAAGGCGUGGUCUGGUUUGAUCCAGCCUUAAUGAAAUCAGAAUUUGCAAGCUGUAUUACUGCACAGAAAUGAUGGAAUAAGCCUUCUUGAUUCUCUCCUGCAUAUCUUCUGUUGCCUCCAGUUGGGGUUGUAAUUGUCCCAGUUGGGGUUAUAAUUGUCCCAGUUGGUGAAUUUGUCUAGUCAUUCAAUUUGGGUACCAAGAAAAUAAAAAAUAAAACAUUUAAUGUCUAUGAAUACAUUAUUUUUAUUAUUUCUACAUUGUCUAAUUGUAUAAUACUUUGGAAUGAGUGAUGUAAUAAUACUGUAUGGAGCUUAUUUGUCACAGUUAAAAACAUGACGUGCUAUGAUAAUGCUAUGUCCUGUUCCCUUGGCUGCACAAAUGCAGUUUGUUUUUUUUGCUUUUAAACUUUCAUUUCGGUUUUACCGAAAACCAACUGAAUGUCAGAAACAUCCCUACUUUAUAUGUAUUACUGUACUGGUUUAAUUUUAAUAAAGCUGUUAUCACUGA
Acipenser ruthenus (sterlet) is the source of this 2549-nucleotide long non-coding RNA. RefSeq lists it as uncharacterized. NCBI's taxonomy places the organism in Eukaryota, Metazoa, Chordata, Actinopteri, Acipenseriformes, Acipenseridae. The transcript is spliced from 2 exons. The record is from RefSeq and is a predicted model, not a curated record.